UAUAUAAGUUUUCCCCUGACAUAAAGUCUAGUCAUGUCUGACUCUGCGGGUUAAUGCUCAUCUCCAUUUCUAAGCCGAAGAGCCAGCGUUGUCUGUAGACACCCCCAAGGUCAUGUGGCUGGCAUGACUGCAUGGAGCGCUGUUACCUUCCCGCCAGAGUGGUACCUAUUGAUCUACUCAUAUUUGCACGUUUUUGAACUGCUAGGUUCGCAGAAGCUGGGGCUAACAGUGGGAGAUCACCUCGCUCUCUAGAUUCGAACCACCGACCUUUCGGUCAGCAAGUUCAGCAGCUCAGCAGUUUAAUCUGCUGCUCACAGUUACACUUAAAAAUGUUUCUGCUAGGACUUAUAUACAAAUUCAAUUUAAGAAGAAACCUACAGAACCUAACUUGGGGACUGCCAGUGCUAUUAUCUUUUCUUUAAUCUAAACUUGUGUUAAUUUAGCUUGCCCCCUUAUCAAUGUGACAUCCUUUCAAAUAUUUAAACCUGAUUGUCAUGUCCCUUCUGUUAUGGUUUAUAAUGACACUGCAAUGUAUGUGUUUACUGAGUAACUACAAGUAAGAAGCCAAUUGGCUGAACCUGCAAAGAGCUGGGAAUUUGAUUGGAUACUUUUUCUGUCAUGCUGCUGGAGAACCGGUUUGAGCAGGUUUACCUCAGAGAGAGAGAGUGUGUAAGCUGACUGAGAUACAGCCUGGAGACAAGAUGGCUGCCUGCUCUCUGGGGCGUUGAUAUUUCUGAGGCAAUGAUGCAGAUUUAUGGACUUUAAAAGGACUUUAUGACUACUGAUCUCUGUAAGUAGUCAGAGGGACUAUUUCACAAAAGUUCUCAAGUAGUUUGCGGGCAUGAUUUAGACUCUCAGCUAGUGCCUGGAGUUGGCAAAGGACUCAAUCAUCCAGAUAAUAGAGCAGGUGGGAUACUGUUGCCAGAUGCACCACAUUGUUUAUUAUUGUUUUAAUAUGUAUUUCUAUUAUGUAGUACUGUUACUGUAUUGUUAGUGUCUAAAGGUGCAUGUCAUAUCCACAUUGCAUGUUUGUUGUCCAUGUUUUCCCCUUCUUUUAUGUAUUUCUCCUGUAAAUAAUAAAAAGUUAUACAUUAUGGAUA
Molecule: long non-coding RNA, 1100 nt
Organism: Anolis carolinensis (green anole)
Lineage: Eukaryota; Metazoa; Chordata; Lepidosauria; Squamata; Anolidae
Exons: 2
Source: RefSeq, a predicted model, not a curated record